GACGAACGCUGGCGGCGUGCUUAACACAUGCAAGUCGAACGGAAAGGCCCUGCUUUUGUGGGGUGCUCGAGUGGCGAACGGGUGAGUAACACGUGAGUAACCUGCCCUUGACUUUGGGAUAACUUCAGGAAACUGGGGCUACUACCGGAUAGGAGCUCCUGCUGCAUGGUGGGGGUUGGAACGUUUCGGCGGGUGGGGAUGGACUCGCGGCUUAUCAGCUUGUUGGUGGGGGAGUGGCUUACCAAGGCUUUGACGGGUAGCCGGCCUGAGAGGUUGACCGGCCACAUUGGGACUGAGAUACGGCCCAGACUCCUACGGGAGGCAGCAGUGGGGAAUAUUGCACAAUGGGCGGAAGCCUGAUGCAGCAACGCCGCGUGCGGGAUGACGGCCUUCGGGUUGUAAACCGCUUUCGCCUGUGACGAAGCGUGAGUGACGGUAAUGGGUAAAGAAGCACCGGCUAACUACGUG
Molecule: ribosomal RNA, 468 nt
Filed under: uncultured bacterium
Lineage: Bacteria
Description: partial 16S ribosomal RNA
Rfam family: Bacterial small subunit ribosomal RNA
Source: RNAcentral